UGGAGCCUGGAGUAUGCUCUAGACCUCUCAGUGGCCUAUUGAUUUCUAGAGUUUCUUCUUCAAUAUCAUCCUCAUCAUCAUCUGGAACGUCUGUUUCCAAGUCUGAAAUAAGGUUUCCAGAUACAUAUCCUAGGGGUGGAACUGGAGCCUGAGGAGGUUGUGUAUUGCUUUGGAUGUGCCAUGUCUGCUUUGCUAUAUCAAACUGGUAGGCC
Molecule: long non-coding RNA, 212 nt
Filed under: Gallus gallus (chicken)
Lineage: Eukaryota; Metazoa; Chordata; Aves; Galliformes; Phasianidae
Source: RNAcentral